RNAcentral lists this ribosomal RNA (133 nucleotides) under Streptococcus pneumoniae. RNAcentral's name for it is "partial 16S ribosomal RNA". It matches the Rfam family "Bacterial small subunit ribosomal RNA", at positions 1 to 129 of the family's 1533-position model. Lineage: Bacteria; Bacillati; Bacillota; Bacilli; Lactobacillales; Streptococcaceae. The record is from RNAcentral.
UUUUAAUGAGAGUUUGAUCCUGGCUCAGGACGAACGCUGGCGGCGUGCCUAAUACAUGCAAGUAGAACGCUGAAGGAGGAGCUUGCUCUUCUGGAUGAGUUGCGAACGGGUGAGUAACGCGUAGGUAACCUGC